UGAAUUGACGGGGGCCCGCACAAGCGGUGGAGCAUGUGGUUUAAUUCGAUGCAACGCGAAGAACCUUACCUGGUCUUGACAUCCACAGAACUUUCCAGAGAUGGAUUGGUGCCUUCGGGAACUGUGAGACAGGUGCUGCAUGGCUGUCGUCAGCUCGUGUUGUGAAAUGUUGGGUUAAGUCCCGCAACGAGCGCAACCCUUAUCCUUUGUUGCCAGCGGUCCGGCCGGGAACUCAAAGGAGACUGCCAGUGAUAAACUGGAGGAAGGUGGGGAUGACGUCAAGUCAUCAUGGCCCUUACGACCAGGGCUACACACGUGCUACAAUGGCGCAUACAAAGAGAAGCGACCUCGCGAGAGCAAGCGGACCUCAUAAAGUGCGUCGUAGUCCGGAUUGGAGUCUGCAACUCGACUCCAUGAAGUCGGAAUCGCUAGUAAUCGUGGAUCAGAAUGCCACGGUGAAUACGUUCCCGGGCCUUGUACACACC
RNAcentral lists this ribosomal RNA (485 nucleotides) under Escherichia coli. Its description in RNAcentral is "bacterial SSU rRNA". It matches the Rfam family "Bacterial small subunit ribosomal RNA", at positions 906 to 1391 of the family's 1533-position model. Lineage: Bacteria; Pseudomonadati; Pseudomonadota; Gammaproteobacteria; Enterobacterales; Enterobacteriaceae. The record is from RNAcentral.